AAUCAGUGUCUUCCAGAAAGAAAUCCAGGUCUUCCAGUCAAUCAGUGUCUUCCAGAAAGAAAUCCAGGUCUUCCAGUCAGUCAGUGUCUUCCAGAAAAAUCUACGUCUUCCACCAAAUCCAGGUCUUCCAGUCAAUCCACAUCUUCCGGAAAAAAUCCAGGUCUUCCAGCCAAUAUAUGUCUUCCUGAAGAUCCACGUCUUCCAGAAAAUCCAUGUCUUCCAGAAAAUCCAUGUCUUCCAGUAACCUCCCAGUCUUCCAGAAAAUCCACGUCUUCCAGACUAUCCAUGUCUUCCAGAAAAUCCUUGUCUUCCCUUAAAUCUAUAGCUUCCAAAAAAUCCGGGUCUUCCAGGAAAUCCGUGUCUUCCAGCAAGUCCACGUCUUCCAACAAAGCCAUGUCUUCCAGACUAUCCAUGUCUUCCAGAAAAUCCUUGUCUUCCCUCAAAUCCAUAGCUUCCGAAAAAUCCAGGUCUUCCAGGAAAUCCGUGUCUUCCAGCAAAUCCACGUCUUCCAACAAAGCCAUGUCUUCCAUCAAAUUAAUGUCUUCCAGCCUACUUGUGUCUUCCAACAAAGGUCUUCCAGCAUCUCCAGGGCUUCCAGCAUCUGCUCGUCUUCCAACAUCUCCACGUCUUCCAGCAUCUCUGUGUCUUCCAGCAUCUUCAUGUCUUCCAACAACUACCCAGUCUUCCAUCAACUGGCUCAAUAUCCAUGUCUUCCAACGUCUCCAGUGUGCUGAUCUUCUGACAUUCAGGUCUUCCAGUGUCUGCAAUAUCCAGGUAUUCUAACAUGUUCUAUAGUCCAGAUCUUCCAGCCUUUCCCCAGGUCCAGGCCUUUUCAAAUCUAGGCUUCCCCUGUCUGAGCCUU
This 862-nucleotide long non-coding RNA is filed under the name Homo sapiens (human). RNAcentral's name for it is "long non-coding RNA NONHSAT138821.2". The record is from RNAcentral. Lineage: Eukaryota; Metazoa; Chordata; Mammalia; Primates; Hominidae.